UACGAGCGGCGGACGGGUGGAGUAACACGUGGACGAAUACUGCCCCCCGGCCCCCGGGACGUAGCCCAGGGAAACCGUAGGAUUAAUACCGGAUGAGACGGGACCCGCGAUGGCGGGACCCGGAAGGCGCUGCGGCGCCGCCGGGGGAUGAGUCUGCGUCCCAUUAGCUAGACGCGGGGUAACGGCCCACCGUGGCGACGAUGGGUAGCCGGCCUGAGAGGGUGGACGGCCACAUUGGAACUGAGACACGGUCCAGACUCCUACGGGAGGCAGCAGCUAAGAAUCUUCCGCAAUGGGCGAAAGCCUGACGGAGCGAACCGCCGCGUGAACGAAGAAGGCCGUGAGGUUGUAAAGUUCUUUUCGGGAGGGGGAACAACCGUGGCAGGGAAUGGCCGCGGGAUGACGUGAAUCCCGGAAUAAGCCCCGGCUAACUACGUGCCAGCAGCGGC
RNAcentral lists this ribosomal RNA (449 nucleotides) under uncultured bacterium. RNAcentral's name for it is "bacterial SSU rRNA". It matches the Rfam family "Bacterial small subunit ribosomal RNA", at positions 90 to 518 of the family's 1533-position model. The record is from RNAcentral.